This 741-nucleotide long non-coding RNA is filed under the name Pan troglodytes (chimpanzee). RNAcentral describes it as "long non-coding RNA NONPTRT015440". The record is from RNAcentral. Lineage: Eukaryota; Metazoa; Chordata; Mammalia; Primates; Hominidae.
UGGAGGUUUAAUGUUUUUAACAGUGGAGGCCAAAAAAGAAGAUAAUUUGGAUUUGAACCAAUAUUUUCUUCAUCUCAACUCACCUCACCACUACAGGUCCAAGCCUGACACAGAGCCUAACAGAAUUUUAAUUUUCAGCAAAACUUUGAAGGGGAAGGGCAAAAGGGAAGAUUUCCCUUGGCCCGUUCAUUUUUGGCACUGUGAGCAAGAUAACCAAACCCACUCUGCUCUUCUGGAAGCCGAAGUCAAAGGAACACUGGACCUGACAAGUAAGCAGAAGGGUAAGAAUUUCUUACUUUCACUUGUGUCCAUGUGAACAGACCACCAAACAGGCUUUGUGUGGGCAAUAAAGCUUUUUAAUCACCUGGGUGCAGGCAGGCUGAGUCCGAAAAGAGACUCAGCGAAGGGAGAUAGGGGUGGGGCCUUUUUAUAAGAUUUGGAUGGGUAGUGGAAAAUUACAGUCAAAGGGGGUUGUUCUCUGGCUGGCAGGGGCGGGGUUCACAAGUGCUCAGUCAGGGAGCUUUUGAGCAAGGAUGAACCAGGAGAAGGAAUUUCACAAGGUAUUGUCAUCAUUUAAGGCAGGGACCGGCCAUUUUCACUUCUUUUGUGGUGGAAUGUCAUCAGUUAAGGCAGGAACAGGCCACUUUCACUUCUUUUGUGAUUCUUCAGUUACUUCAGGCCAUCUGGAUGUAUACAUGGAAGUCACAGGGGAUAUGAUGGCUUAGCUUGGGCUCAGAGGCC